GGGUGCUAUACAUGCAGUCGAACGAGUUCUCGUUGAUGAUCGGUGCUUGCACCGAGAUUCAACAUGGAACGAGUGGCGGACGGGUGAGUAACACGUGGGUAACCUGCCCUUAAGUGGGGGAUAACAUUUGGAAACAGAUGCUAAUACCGCAUAGAUCCAAGAACCGCAUGGUUCUUGGCUGAAAGAUGGCGUAAGCUAUCGCUUUUGGAUGGACCCGCGGCGUAUUAGCUAGUUGGUGAGGUAAUGGCUCACCAAGGCGAUGAUACGUAGCCGAACUGAGAGGUUGAUCGGCCACAUUGGGACUGAGACACGGCCCAAACUCCUACGGGAGGCAGCAGUAGGGAAUCUUCCACAAUGGACGCAAGUCUGAUGGAGCAACGCCGCGUGAGUGAAGAAGGCUUUCGGGUCGUAAAACUCUGUUGUUGGAGAAGAAUGGUCGGCAGAGUAACUGUUGUCGGCGUGACGGUAUCCAACCAGAAAGCCACGGCUAACUACGUGCCAGCAGCCGCGGUAAUACGUAGGUGGCAAGCGUUAUCCGGAUUUAUUGGGCGUAAAGCGAGCGCAGGCGGUUUUUUAAGUCUGAUGUGAAAGCCCUCGGCUUAACCGAGGAAGCGCAUCGGAAACUGGGAAACUUGAGUGCAGAAGAGGACAGUGGAACUCCAUGUGUAGCGGUGAAAUGCGUAGAUAUAUGGAAGAACACCAGUGGCGAAGGCGGCUGUCUGGUCUGUAACUGACGCUGAGGCUCGAAAGCAUGGGUAGCGAACAGGAUUAGAUACCCUGGUAGUCCAUGCCGUAAACGAUGAAUGCUAGGUGUUGGAGGGUUUCCGCCCUUCAGUGCCGCAGCUAACGCAUUAAGCAUUCCGCCUGGGGAGUACGACCGCAAGGUUGAAACUCAAAGGAAUUGACGGGGGCCCGCACAAGCGGUGGAGCAUGUGGUUUAAUUCGAAGCAACGCGAAGAACCUUACCAGGUCUUGACAUCUUUUGAUCACCUGAGAGAUCAGGUUUCCCCUUCGGGGGCAAAAUGACAGGUGGUGCAUGGUUGUCGUCAGCUCGUGUCGUGAGAUGUUGGGUUAAGUCCCGCAACGAGCGCAACCCUUAUGACUAGUUGCCAGCAUUUAGUUGGGCACUCUAGUAAGACUGCCGGUGACAAACCGGAGGAAGGUGGGGAUGACGUCAAAUCAUCAUGCCCCUUAUGACCUGGGCUACACACGUGCUACAAUGGAUGGUACAACGAGUUGCGAGACCGCGAGGUCAAGCUAAUCUCUUAAAGCCAUUCUCAGUUCGGACUGUAGGCUGCAACUCGCCUACACGAAGUCGGAAUCGCUAGUAAUCGCGGAUCAGCACGCCGCGGUGAAUACGUUCCCGGGCCUUGUACACACCGCCCGUCACACCAUGAGAGUUUGUAACACCCGAAGCCGGUGGCGUAACCCUUUUAGGGAGCGAGCCGUCUAAGGUGGGACAAAUGAUUAGGGUGAAGUCGUAACAAGGUUAACCGUAA
RNAcentral lists this ribosomal RNA (1499 nucleotides) under Lacticaseibacillus paracasei. RNAcentral's name for it is "bacterial SSU rRNA". It matches the Rfam family "Bacterial small subunit ribosomal RNA". The record is from RNAcentral. Lineage: Bacteria; Bacillati; Bacillota; Bacilli; Lactobacillales; Lactobacillaceae.